CGCAAGUCAGCCCAGUCGAAUCUCACCAGUAGCAGCCCAUCAGCAGAAUUUUAUUGAGGCCCAUCUCCUGCAGUCUUCAAGCCCAGUCCAAUCCAAGUGAAUUAAUUGGUCAAGCCCAUUUCAGCAGGCCCAACCCAACUUGGGUCUGGCCCAAAAGCAAGAACAAAUCUCAGUUGGGCUGAGAUUUGUUGGGGCCAAGUCCAAGGCCCGGUCCAAGCCCACCGGUGUUGUCGAAAAUCUGAUUUCGGCUGCCGUCGUGUCGCCGUUGCGGUGAUUCGAUCUCCGCUUUUGUCAAGUGAGUUUUAGUCACUAAAGCUUUCUUAGUUUGCUAAUUAUACUUAAGGUUGGUUAGAUUUAAUUAAAUGCAAUUAGGUGGUUAGAUUAGUUUAGAUCAAUUAAAUUAGAGACUUAAUGAUGCAUGUUAGGUGGUUAGAAAUAGACAUUAGCAAGUAAACAUGCCAUGUUAUUUAUGGAGCGAGUCUCGGUAAUUUUUCGGGCUUGUCUCGGUAUCCAAUUCGGCAUUAUGAGCCUAAAUUGGAUUUUUAUAAUUAUUUAUUUAAUUUUCGAAAUUAAUUAUUUAAUUAUUUAUUUUUCCAGAAAUUCAACCGGGAUGGCCGGUGACCGGAAUUUCGUGCUGAUUGUCGUGGUGCAGUCCGUUUAUUUAUUUGAGCUUUAUUUGGUGCUAAAGUAAUUUAUGAGUGAAUUUAAGAUUUAUUCCUAAAUUGAAUCUGGAGAGGGUCGGGUGGGACCGUAAAGCCAUUAGUUCUUGAGAGGGUCGGGUGGGACCGUAAAGCCACUAGUUCUUGAAAGGGUCCGACUGACACGAAAUCGACUAGGUCGAUUCGAUCGAUGCUUCGAUCGGUGAUGUGAUUGUUUGAAUGCCUAUUGAACUGUACUAAUAUGCAGAUAGAAUCUGAGCCCAAGGUAAGUCAUCCAACUCGUGCCCUGUUUAGGCAGCCUAUAGUGUAUUGGCUUUCUAAUCGAGUCUUAGGGGGUAGGACUCGCUGAGACGUGGUCUCAUUGGUUAUUGAAUAACCAUUUCAGGACCCUGAGGAGAAGCUAAGGAAGAGGAACCUGAAGGGGAGAAAGACUUUUGAAGAAGAAGAUGAUCCAGAGAAGGAUCUUGAAUAUAACCCGGAUGUGGACUGAGAUCCCAUCCCUUUUGUAAACCC
Molecule: long non-coding RNA, 1172 nt
Filed under: Eucalyptus grandis
Lineage: Eukaryota; Viridiplantae; Streptophyta; Magnoliopsida; Myrtales; Myrtaceae
Description: long non-coding RNA (EGRA_LNC004365)
Source: RNAcentral